GCAACCACCCUGGACGCGCCCGAUCUCGUGUGAUCUCGGAAGCUAAGCAGGGUCGGGCCUGGUUAGUACUUGGAUGGGAGACUGCCCGGGAAAACGGGGUGCA
This 103-nucleotide ribosomal RNA is filed under the name Saimiri boliviensis boliviensis (Bolivian squirrel monkey). Lineage: Eukaryota; Metazoa; Chordata; Mammalia; Primates; Cebidae. The record is from RNAcentral.